AGUCAGAGGCGAUGAAGGGCGUGCUAAUCUGCGAUAAGCGCCGGUAAGGUGAUAUGAACCGUUAUAACCGGCGAUACCCGAAUGGGGAAACCCAGUGUGAUUCGUCACACUAUCAUUAACUGAAUCCAUAGGUUAAUGAGGCGAACCGGGGGAACUGAAACAUCUAAGUACCCCGAGGAAAAGAAAUCAACCGAGAUUCCCCCAGUAGCGGCGAGCGAACGGGGAGGAGCCCAGAGCCUGAAUCAGCAUGUGUGUUAGUGGAAGCGUCUGGAAAGGCGCGCGAUACAGGGUGACAGCCCCGUACACAAAAGCGCAUGUGCUGUGAGCUCGAUGAGUAGGGCGGGACACGUGGUAUCCUGUCUGAAUAUGGGGGGACCAUCCUCCAAGGCUAAAUACUCCUGACUGACCGAUAGUGAACCAGUACCGUGAGGGAAAGGCGAAAAGAACCCCGGCGAGGGGAGUGAAAAAGAACCUGAAACCGUGUACGUACAAGCAGUGGGAGCACCCUUUGGGUGUGACUGCGUACCUUUUGUAUAAUGGGUCAGCGACUUAUAUUCUGUAGCAAGGUUAACCGAAUAGGGGAGCCGGAGGGAAACCGAGUCUUAACCGGGCGUUAAGUUGCAGGGUAUAGACCCGAAACCCGGUGAUCUAGCCAUGGGCAGGUUGAAGGUUGGGUAACACUAACUGGAGGACCGAACCGACUAAUGUUGAAAAAUUAGCGGAUGACCUGUGGCUGGGGGUGAAAGGCCAAUCAAACCGGGAGAUAGCUGGUUCUCCCCGAAAGCUAUUUAGGUAGCGCCUCGUGAAUUCAUCUCCGGGGGUAGAGCACUGUUUCGGCUAGGGGGCCAUCCCGGCUUACCAACCCGAUGCAAACUGCGAAUACCGGAGAAUGUUAUCACGGGAGACACACGGCGGGUGCUAACGUCCGUCGUGAAGAGGGAAACAACCCAGACCGCCAGCUAAGGUCCCAAAGUCAUGGUUAAGUGGGAAACGAUGUGGGAAGGCCCAGACAGCCAGGAUGUUGGCUUAGAAGCAGCCAUCAUUUAAAGAAAGCGUAAUAGCUCACUGGUCGAGUCGGCCUGCGCGGAAGAUGUAACGGGGCUAAACCAUGCACCGAAGCUGCGGCAGCGACACUGUGUGUUGUUGGGUAGGGGAGCGUUCUGUAAGCCUGUGAAGGUGUGUCGUGAGGCAUGCUGGAGGUAUCAGAAGUGCGAAUGCUGACAUAAGUAACGAUAAAGCGGGUGAAAAGCCCGCUCGCCGGAAGACCAAGGGUUCCUGUCCAACGUUAAUCGGGGCAGGGUGAGUCGACCCCUAAGGCGAGGCCGAAAGGCGUAGUCGAUGGGAAACGGGUUAAUAUUCCCGUACUUGGUGUUACUGCGAAGGGGGGACGGAGAAGGCUAUGUUGGCCGGGCGACGGUUGUCCCGGUUUAAGCGUGUAGGUGUGUGUUCCAGGUAAAUCCGGUUCACUUUAACACUGAGGCGUGACGACGAGGCACUACGGUGCUGAAGCAACAAAUGCCCUGCUUCCAGGAAAAGCCUCUAAGCAUCAGGUAACAUCAAAUCGUACCCCAAACCGACACAGGUGGUCAGGUAGAGAAUACCAAGGCGCUUGAGAGAACUCGGGUGAAGGAACUAGGCAAAAUGGUGCCGUAACUUCGGGAGAAGGCACGCUGACACGUAGGUGAAGUGAUUUACUCAUGGAGCUGAAGUCAGUCGAAGAUACCAGCUGGCUGCAACUGUUUAUUAAAAACACAGCACUGUGCAAACACGAAAGUGGACGUAUACGGUGUGACGCCUGCCCGGUGCCGGAAGGUUAAUUGAUGGGGUCAGCGCAAGCGAAGCUCCUGAUCGAAGCCCCGGUAAACGGCGGCCGUAACUAUAACGGUCCUAAGGUAGCGAAAUUCCUUGUCGGGUAAGUUCCGACCUGCACGAAUGGCGUAAUGAUGGCCAGGCUGUCUCCACCCGAGACUCAGUGAAAUUGAACUCGCUGUGAAGAUGCAGUGUACCCGCGGCAAGACGGAAAGACCCCGUGAACCUUUACUAUAGCUUGACACUGAACAUUGAGCCUUGAUGUGUAGGAUAGGUGGGAGGCUUUGAAGUGUGGACGCCAGUCUGCAUGGAGCCGACCUUGAAAUACCACCCUUUAAUGUUUGAUGUUCUAACGUGGACCCGUUACCCGGGUUGCGGACAGUGUCUGGUGGGUAGUUUGACUGGGGCGGUCUCCUCCUAAAGAGUAACGGAGGAGCACGAAGGUUGGCUAAUCCUGGUCGGACAUCAGGAGGUUAGUGCAAUGGCAUAAGCCAGCUUGACUGCGAGCGUGACGGCGCGAGCAGGUGCGAAAGCAGGUCAUAGUGAUCCGGUGGUUCUGAAUGGAAGGGCCAUCGCUCAACGGAUAAAAGGUACUCCGGGGAUAACAGGCUGAUACCGCCCAAGAGUUCAUAUCGACGGCGGUGUUUGGCACCUCGAUGUCGGCUCAUCACAUCCUGGGGCUGAAGUAGGUCCCAAGGGUAUGGCUGUUCGCCAUUUAAAGUGGUACGCGAGCUGGGUUUAGAACGUCGUGAGACAGUUCGGUCCCUAUCUGCCGUGGGCGCUGGAGAACUGAGGGGGGCUGCUCCUAGUACGAGAGGACCGGAGUGGACGCAUCACUGGUGUUCGGGUUGUCAUGCCAAUGGCACUGCCCGGUAGCUAAAUGCGGAAGAGAUAAGUGCUGAAAGCAUCUAAGCACGAAACUUGCCCCGA
This 2739-nucleotide ribosomal RNA is filed under the name Salmonella enterica subsp. enterica serovar Enteritidis. Its description in RNAcentral is "partial 23S ribosomal RNA". It matches the Rfam family "Bacterial large subunit ribosomal RNA". Lineage: Bacteria; Pseudomonadati; Pseudomonadota; Gammaproteobacteria; Enterobacterales; Enterobacteriaceae. The record is from RNAcentral.